This 1044-nucleotide long non-coding RNA is filed under the name Homo sapiens (human). Its description in RNAcentral is "novel transcript". The record is from RNAcentral. Lineage: Eukaryota; Metazoa; Chordata; Mammalia; Primates; Hominidae.
GGACGCUGGAGGGAGGGCGCGGGAUGGAGGGAUCGCGGGGGUCCCAGGACGGAGAGGUCGCGCCGGGCGCGCUCGGAACACGCAGGAAAUUCUCCCCGAGGCGUGGGCUCCGCGGGGCUUCCCCGCCGGUUCGCUGAGUCCCAGCUCCGCUCGGCCGGGACCUCCGUGGCAGGCUCGGGGAGCCCGCGGGGGGCAGAGGCGCCGACCUCCGCCUGGGACCGAGAGGAACCCGCGCCCUGCCCUGCCCCGCCCGGCGCGCGUGGGCCUGAGUCAGGCGCCUCAGCACGGGGACCCCCGGGCCGGCCUUCACGCCGCAGAGCCGCUGCAGGUGAGACUGUGGCCCACAGACACUGCUUGCAGCAGGCAGAGGAUGUGGGAGCCUCGUGGGAACCCCCCCGACUUGUCCACUGAAGUAACAGCAGCAAUGACCUUCCCUCGGGAAUUCCACCUCUGCGUUUUUCCCUCCAGGGUCAUUUUCCCAGCCUGGGCAACAUGGUGAAACCCAGUCUCUACAAAAAAAAAAAAACCAAAAAAAAAAAAAAAAAAAAUUGGCCUUUUCACAAGAUGGCGCUGAAAGCAAAGAAGGAAGCUCCUGCCUCUCCUGAAGCCGAAGCCAAAGCGAAGGCUUUAAAGGCCAAGAAGGCAGCGUUGAAAGGUGUCCACAGCCACAUAAAAAAGAAGACCCGCACGUCACUCACCUUCCAGCGGCCCAAGACACUGCGACGCCGGAGGCGGCCUGAAUAUCCUUGGAAGAGCACCCCCAGGAGAAACAAGCUUGGCCACUAUGCUGUCAUCAAGUUUCCGCUGACCACGGAGUCGGCCGUGAAGAGGACAGAAGAAAACAACACGCUUUUGUUCACUGUGGAUGUUAAAGCCAACAAGCACCAGAUCAAACAGGCUGUGAAGAAGCUCUAUGACGGUGAUGUGGCCGAGGUCACCACCCUGAUUCCGCCUGAUGGAGAGAAGAAGGCAUGUGUUCGACUGGCUCCUGAUUACGAUGCGUUGGAUGUUGCCAACAAAAUUGGGAUCAUCUAAACUGAGUCC